UCCUGUAAGUUUUAUCCCAGGCAAAUAGAAAAAGCCAAAACACAUUAUGAAACCCUAAAUUGUAGAAACAUUUUAUAACUUUGAAAUGUGUAAAUUACUUAUGAUUGAAUUCCUAACCCUAUAUUCCUAUAUUCAUCAUUUUGAAUGUUCCAGAUAUCUUUCGUGUUUUAACAUUUGCUACAAGAUUUCCAGACAGUGCCUGAUAUAUGGAAUGUCUGUGUCCAGGAGAAUGUCAAUUAUUCCACUGAAUAACCCAAUGUAGCAGAUGCCAUUCUAGGCACUUUGGAGUAUCAGGGAACAACAGGAUACCAGUGCUUCAGAAUGGAAAUGUGACUACUUUAGAUGAGAUGCCAAGUUCAUUUAAUCAUUUAGGUACUCAUAUAUUUAAAAAAAAGAAAAAAGUGUGUCUGCUUUCUAUGUGUCAGAUGCUACAGUGGGAGCUCAAGAUAAAGUGGGAAACAAGAUCCACAAAGUCCUGUCCUUACGCAGUUUACAUUCAAAUAUGGUAUUGUGUCCUCUGUAAAUUUAAGCCAAAUACUUCCACCAGCAAUGUUGAUUUUCUGGUAACAGUCAUGAACUCAUCCUGCCUGGUAACAUGGCAUUUUAUGAUAUACGAAUUCCCAUCUUCCCUGCUAUAUCAAG
Molecule: long non-coding RNA, 642 nt
Organism: Mustela lutreola (European mink)
Lineage: Eukaryota; Metazoa; Chordata; Mammalia; Carnivora; Mustelidae
Exons: 3
Source: RefSeq, a predicted model, not a curated record